RNAcentral lists this small RNA (28 nucleotides) under Bombyx mori (domestic silkworm). RNAcentral describes it as "ovarian small RNA-6440". The record is from RNAcentral. Lineage: Eukaryota; Metazoa; Arthropoda; Insecta; Lepidoptera; Bombycidae.
UAGUACUAAGUGCCCACUUAUGAUGGAC